RNAcentral lists this ribosomal RNA (1186 nucleotides) under uncultured bacterium. Its description in RNAcentral is "bacterial SSU rRNA". It matches the Rfam family "Bacterial small subunit ribosomal RNA", at positions 116 to 1274 of the family's 1533-position model. The record is from RNAcentral.
CGUGGGUAAUCUACCCUAUAGUCUGGGAUAACCUCUCGAAAGGGGGGCUAAUACCGGAUGAUGUCCUCAUGGGGCAUCCCAAGGGGAGCAAAGGGGGCGCCCGCAAGGAGCUCUCGCUAGAGGAGGAACCUGCGUUCGAUUAGCUAGUUGGUGGGGUAACGGCCCACCAAGGCGACGAUCGGUAGCCGGCCUGAGAGGGUGACCGGCCACACUGGGACUGAGACACGGCCCAGACUCCUACGGGAGGCAGCAGUGGGGAAUCUUGCGCAAUGGGCGAAAGCCUGACGCAGCGACGCCGUGUGGGGGACGAAGGCCUUCGGGUUGUAAACCCCUGUCGGGUGGGACGAAUCCCCCGAGGACGAAUACUCCUCGGGGUUGACGGUACCGCCGGAGGAAGCCCCGGCUAACUACGUGCCAGCAGCCGCGGUAAUACGUAGGGGGCGAGCGUUGCUCGGAUUUACUGGGCGUAAAGAGCGCGUAGGCGGCCAGGGAAGUCUGGUGUGAAAUCCCUCGGCUCAACCGAGGACCCGCAUCGGAGACUCCCUGGCUUGAGUCCAGGAGGGGAGGGUGGAAUUCCCGGUGUAGCGGUGAAAUGCGUAGAGAUCGGGAGGAACACCGGUGGCGAGGCGGCCCUCUGGAAAUGGCACUGACGCUGAGGCGCGAAAGCUGGGGGAGCAAACGGGAUUAGAUACCCCGGUAGUCCCAGCCGUAAACGAUGGGCGCUAGGUGUGGGGAGGUAUUGAUCCCUUCCGUGCCGCAGCUAACGCAUUAAGCGCCCCGCCUGGGGAGUACGACCGCAAGGUUGAAACUCAAAGGAAUUGACGGGGGCCCGCACAAGCGGUGGAGCAUGUGGUUUAAUUCGACGCAACGCGAAGAACCUUACCAGGGUUUGACAUGCCGGUAGUACCGACCUGAAAGGGAAGGGAUCCCGCAAGGGAAGCCGGCACAGGUGGUGCAUGGCUGUCGUCAGCUCGUGUCGUGAGAUGUUGGGUUAAGUCCCGCAACGAGCGCAACCCUCACCCUCUGUUGCCAGCGGGUUAUGCCGGGCACUCUGAGGGAACUGCCCCGGUCAACGGGGAGGAAGGCGGGGACGACGUCAAGUCAUCAUGCCCCUUACGCCCUGGGCUACACACGUGCUACAAUGGCCGGCACAGAGGGCUGCAAACCCGCGAGGGGGAGCUAAUCC